Molecule: unclassified non-coding RNA, 352 nt
Filed under: soil metagenome
Description: partial contains 5.8S ribosomal RNA, internal transcribed spacer 2, and large subunit ribosomal RNA
Rfam family: 5.8S ribosomal RNA (bases 1-120)
Source: RNAcentral
GAUGAAGAACGCAGCGAAAUGCGAUAAGUAAUGUGAAUUGCAGAAUUCAGUGAAUCAUCGAAUCUUUGAACGCACAUUGCGCCCGCCAGUAUUCUGGCGGGUAUGCCUGUUCGAGCGUCAUUACAACCCUCAGGCCCCCGGGCCUGGCGUUGGGGAUCGGCGGAGCCCCCCGUGGGCACACGCCGUCCCCCAAAUGCAGUGGCGGUCCCGCCGCAGCUUCCAUCGCGUAGUAGCUAACACCUCGCGACUGGAGAGCGGCGCGGCCACGCCGUAAAACACCCAACUCUUCUGAAGUUGACCUCGAAUCAGGUAGGAAUACCCGCUGAACUUAAGCAUAUCAAUAAGCGGAGGA